Molecule: long non-coding RNA, 1566 nt
Organism: Oncorhynchus tshawytscha (Chinook salmon)
Lineage: Eukaryota; Metazoa; Chordata; Actinopteri; Salmoniformes; Salmonidae
Exons: 3
Source: RefSeq, a predicted model, not a curated record
ACAAUAUUGAGCACAUGGUGUGACUUGCUGUAUCUUACAAAGUUGUGAUAGGGAGGGGUGGUCAUCACGAGGUUUAACUGAGAUGGAAAAAUACUGAACAACACAAUAGCAGGAACUGAGCAACUGUUCUAACUAGGCUGCGAUAUCAGAACAGUAAGAAUCUAUACAUCGACGGAGGGAGGACUCCAAGAAGCGCCAAGAGGCGGGGACCCGCCUGAGUGCCUGCGAUAGGCUGAGCAAGUCUAAACCACGCCCAGCCUCUACUGUGAUAGACAUUGUCCCAACACGUCUGUUGGCCUAUCACAGUAUAAGAACACUGUUUACGUACAUCCUGUCAGUUCUCUGUUCUGCCCUGCGUGGUAUUACAGUGAGCCCGUAUAUACGAAAGUUGCAUUUGCCAUUUAUUACUUAGCUAAUAAAAAAUACAUAGUAUACAAUCGGUGACUCAUUGUUAUAUUUAUCCUGAUACCAGAUUCGAAUUUACGCAACUCUAACAAAAGGAACAUCUAAAAAGAGGAAACAUCAGAAGCAGCCAUUGUAGCUAAUCAUUUAGCAAUCUCGGAUAGACAGUGAACCUGUAAACAUGUACCGUCCCCGUUUUGAAAAGCCUGACUUCGAGGGUGGGAACAAGGAAGUAUGCCUCCCGUCAGGCUUUAUCUCUUUACAAAGCCAGGGAAAAUGUGUCAACCUAGAUAUCCUGCAAUGUCCCGGGUGAUAAGAACAUCAUUGAGACAAGUCCAAUGGUUCUAUUGAACAAGGACAACCAUAUCUACUCAUCGGCAAAACACAAAGGCCACAAUAAUUGCUACAAAACGUUCAUUUGUAGAUCAGACAACAGACUCAAUUAAUCAAUGACAUCAUUGGUUGAACUCUCCCAGCGCAAUUGUUUUUUAAAUACAGCUAUACUGCAUAAUUAUGUCUGAAACACCCUCUCAUUACUCAUAAUUAUGUAGGGAGACUGGAAAAGCAUCCAAAAUAGUGUCUAGUUUCCGUUUAACUUAGUUUCCGUAAGACAGGUUUUUAAAGUUUUUAUAAUUGAGGGAAUUUGUGCAUACUCUUGGAUUCAGUUUUCAGAAAAACUGAAGCUCCUCGACUGUACCCCUCUAAAGGCCUGAACACACAAAUAAUUUGAAAUGCACUUCUUAUAAGACUGUUAUUGAUGUCAUCAUUACAAGAUGUUAUUAUAAAUGUUCUGCAUAAUCUUGUAUCUACUUUGUAAUUGACUCGUAGACCGAAGACAUUGAACGUCUUAUCUUUGUUCCCGGUUCUUGUUAAAAGUGACGACUGCCUCUAAAACAAGUCAUUGUGGGUAGAGAGAGGAGGGGAGAACUGCCUCUUAAACAAUCUCACAGGGGAGAGAGGGGAAGGGACCACAGCGUCUAAAAUAUGUGUCCUGAAGCUCAGAGCAGAGACACCCACAUCCAGCCUGCUUUCAUCAAAGAGUGAGAAGUCAAUGCACAAUCCACCUAAUUUCAGCCAGGAACCACUGAGAGAUGAGCAAAGAGAGAUGGUUCAUAUCGUAGCCCAUGAGGAGGGACUGGAACACCAUCUCAGGUUCUAUGUGAA